UACAGAGGUCCCGAGCGUUGUUCGGAUUUAUUGGGCGUAAAGGGUGCGUAGGCGGCGGAGUAAGUUGGGUGUGAAAUCCCGGGGCUCAACCUCGGAAUUGCAUUCAAUACUGCUCCGCUAGAGUACUGGAGAGGAGGCUGGAAUUUACGGUGUAGCAGUGAAAUGCGUAGAUAUCGUAAGGAAGGCCGGUGGCGAAAGCGAGCCUCUGGACAGUUACUGACGCUGAUGCACGAAGGCCAGGGGAGCAAACGGG
This 253-nucleotide ribosomal RNA is filed under the name uncultured bacterium. Its description in RNAcentral is "partial 16S ribosomal RNA". It matches the Rfam family "Bacterial small subunit ribosomal RNA", at positions 524 to 776 of the family's 1533-position model. The record is from RNAcentral.